AAAACAUGCCUACGGGAGGCAGCAGUGGGGAAUAUUGGACAAUGGGCGCAAGCCUGAUCCAGCCAUGCCGCGUGAGUGAUGAAGGCCUUAGGGUUGUAAAGCUCUUUCGCCGGUGAAGAUAAUGACGGUAACCGGAGAAGAAGCCCCGGCUAACUUCGUGCCAGCAGCCGCGGUAAUACGAAGGGGGCUAGCGUUGCUCGGAAUCACUGGGCGUAAAGCGCACGUAGGCGGGGCGUUAAGUCAGAGGUGAAAUCCUGGAGCUCAACUCCAGAACUGCCUUUGAUACUGGCGCCCUAGAGUUCGAGAGAGGUUGGUGGAACUCCGAGUGUAGAGGUGAAAU
Molecule: ribosomal RNA, 340 nt
Filed under: uncultured bacterium
Lineage: Bacteria
Description: bacterial SSU rRNA
Rfam family: Bacterial small subunit ribosomal RNA
Source: RNAcentral